This is an RNA transcript of Papaver somniferum (opium poppy), 3516 nucleotides long. RefSeq lists it as uncharacterized. The transcript is spliced from 4 exons. Lineage: Eukaryota; Viridiplantae; Streptophyta; Magnoliopsida; Ranunculales; Papaveraceae. The record is from RefSeq and is a predicted model, not a curated record.
UUAGUGGUGGUCAUGAUUUGUCCUGACAAAAAUAAAUAUGUGGAUAUUGUUCUCCAUGAUUAUGGAAUUUUGUUCAUCAUGUUAAUCUUGGGGAUGUUCUCAAUGAUUUUGGAAUUUGGUUUCGAUCUAUGGAAGAUCAAUCACAAAUUUUUGGGAACAAAAACCAUAUUACAGGUAUGAUUUUUGGAAUUUGGUUUCGAUCUAUGGAAGAUCAAUCACAGGUAUGAUUUUUGUUAUUCGUAGUUUUAUUCCCUGAAGAAUCAAAUUUUUGUUUUUUAGUUCGUUAUUUGUAUCAAGAACCAGAUGUGUUUAAUCAUGGUAACCAAAUGUAUCAGGAAUCAAAUUGAGUCUUAGUGAACUUGAUUACUUGUUUCCCUGAAUCCCUCGGGAUGAUAAUUUGAUUCAUUAUGUGUUUAAAUUUUUGAAUAAUUUUUUAUGUGCAAUUUUUAAAAAACUCUGCUUCGGAGCUGGGAAUUGGUUUUUUAGUUUUUUCCAUGGUGAUCCUAGUUUUGACUUAAUUGCUUGGGGCCAUAGCAAUUUAAACCUGAUUGCUUAGCUCACACAUCAAUAUUUCAUCAUGGGACGUUGUUUCAGGUUAUUUAGAUUUAAUUGCCUUUUCAAAUCUGCAGUUACAAUCUUCUUAGAAUUGCUCGGUUCUUUUAGCCUUCCAUCUUCCUUUGUGAUAUAAGCUUUUUGCUUUCAAUACCCGUAAAUGUUUUGUAUGAUUAAUAUAACAACCGUUUCAUUUUCCACCCAUUAAUUGUCCUAGCAUUCAAAGAAUGAAACUGUGCAUCUUAUAUAACGGUCACCUGAUUUUCAAAGGCAAAUCACACUCAACCACCACAAUUCCCAGGGAUCUGCAUCCAUCUUCCAUUUAUUGAACUUUUCCGCUGCAGUGUUUCCAGGGAAAAAGGAGUACCAGCAACAUUUAAACAGAUUCAAGCUAUUUGCAACUUGCAAGUACUUCAAUCUGUUUAAUGCUUUUUGAAGUAAUAGUUGGUGGAGUCAGAAGGAUCAAUUUAUGUUAAUAAUGUGAGUUCAGUUCUAUCAUAUCUUCCAAAGCUCAUUUUUUAAGAGGGGCAAAAUAUUGCACGGUUAGUUAUCAUGCCAAGUUAUCAUAUUAUAUGGGAGUGAGAACAUUGCACAUCAAAUUCGAAAAUAAGAGAAAUAUUAGUUGUACCCCACUACAUGUUAGCUGUCAUCCAUUAUUUAAACAUCUAUAUAAAGAGAAAGUCAAAGAGAGAGAAAACAAAAUUUGUAUUACUAUCAUCUCCUUCUUCUACCUUCACCAACUUAGAACUCCAAAUACCAUUAAUGGAGUCCCAAUGUAAUCGAAAUGUAAUUUCAACAAUCAUAGUGAACCCUAACCCCGUGGAUGUAGAUCACAUUGAUCGAACCACGUAAAUUUUGUGUCUUAUUUUACAUUUCCAUCAUUUUUAUCUUUAUUUUUAUGUUAAAUAAGUUUAGAUCUAGAAAUUGUUAAAGGGGUGUUAGUUGUGGGAUUUCCUGCAACUAUAUUUUGGCGCUAGAAACACUGCUUGCUACUUGUUAGAUUGAAGAAGAUUCAAAGAAAUUACCUAUUGUUAGAGUUGAAUUAAAAGAAAUUAGCUACUGUGAGUGAUGGAUUCCACUGGAUCUGUAAGCACUAAGGGAAAAAGUGGAAAUUACAACCGAAGAGUUUACCACUAACAACAAAUCCGAGGAAAAGGAAACGAGAAAAUAAGAGAUGUGAAUGAAGAACAGCAGCUAGAGAUGAAAAAAGCUACAUAAACAACUCGUUUAAAAGGACAAAUUUCUUCAUCAUAUUUGUGAUAUUGUGUUCAAUUUUCAGAUCUGGGAAUUUUCAGCAAGACUUUUGGGAAAAACGUUUUAAACACAAAGACUUGGAAACCUGAUUACCUUUUGGUAUCGUAUAUCAAAAUAAGCUUUGACUACAGAUUUAAAACCAACAAAAAUCGCUUUGAAAACCCGUUUAACCGAUUUUCAAAAUCAAGGAGACCAAUAAUUCAAUUGAAUUUGGGAUUCCCCUUUUUUAAAAAAAAAACUCAAAUAUGUUUCUGAUUAUAGUCUCUAUUUUCUGAUAAUAAUUGCUAUUGCUAGUUAAAUUGAUUUGCUGCUUGAAGCUAUGAGGAAUUUGCUAACAAAAAUUAUCAGAAGCGAAAGCAUAAGGAAAAGGGAUGUUUCUCAGACGAACAGAAAAAGACAGAGAGAAGACAAAAAGAAGUAGCAGGCGAAGAUCAAAACACCAGGCGAAAAGCUUCGCAGAGGAAAAGAUACACAGGAGAUGGAAAACCAAUAGCAAGAAGAUGGGAAGUCAUCAGUUGGAAGGUGAAAUUGGCAGAACAUGCGAAGGAAACAACUUCUUCUUCGUGAAUAGCAACGCGAUGACAAUGCCAGCAUCACAUUACUUCGACAAAGAUCAAAUUCUAAGGGAGAAGCGUGAAGAUGAGUCAUACGAAGAUACCCGCACCCAGUGUACAUGUUCUACAGCAAAACGGAGAGGAUUCAACUAAGAAGCAUGAAGGAUUCACAACAAAUAUAAAAAGAUAUUCAAAGUGGCACCAACAAAUUCUCUGCGGGCGAAAAGAAGAGAUGGGCGUUAGAAUAAUAUUUUCUAUAUCUCAUGGUUGUUAUUUUGCAGUAUGUAGGGAGAUGUAUCUCUAAAAGAACGAAGGAAUCAAGACAAAAAACACCAAAGUAGUAAUGAAGCAGCAAUGAGGAAUCAUAAUCAUGUGAGGCAGGAAUGAAAAGAUCUCUGCACACGCGAAGACAAUAGUCACGCGAAGAGAAUGAUCACUGGAGCUUUGCGAAGAACAAUCAUUCUCAUCAUGAGGAGGAUGGAAUUAUCACCGGAUCAGACAAAUCGCACAAGACAAUUUGAAGAGAACUGGAUAAUGCGAUAAAUUCGCACAAGACAAUUCGAGUCAACACAGCACGAUAGCAGCAUGAAGGAUUAUCCAACAUGAAUUAAACCACCACGAUGGGAAGAGGUUUUAGUUUUGCAGGUGCGAAGGAGAAAGGAGAAAAAGAGUCUUACAGUGCGAAUAAAGUGAGAAGGAAGCUUAUGCGAAAAAAUAGAAUGAAGAAGUAAGCUUCAAAGACGCACCGGUGAAAGAAAAGAAGAAAGAUGCAUCUGAAAACGAAAGAAAAGGACGUGAAUCCUUAGCUAACAAGAAGAAAACAUUCAACAAAUCUUAGGACUCCAAAAAGUGUGCGAUAAUUUCGCAGGAUAACAACUAUUUUAGUCCUUCCCUGGAUUAAUUGAUUGUUUGCAGCAAACAUGGUUAUGAAUUUAGGAGGUGUUGAAAAUAGCAAAGACAACGCUCGUAAACGAAGAAGAGAGCAGCACACGAUAAAAACCCAGCAAACCAUGCGAACAGGAUAGAAGGGCGAUAACAUCCUAGAGAAACAAAGGAGAGGCAAUUAACUUCAAAAGAGAAGAUAGCAUAUGAAGUGUUAGAGCAUUGUUCGGUCGACCUCGCAUGCGUUGCUAUCUCAAGCAUGUUUGUCAAUGUU